This 446-nucleotide ribosomal RNA is filed under the name uncultured bacterium. RNAcentral's name for it is "partial 16S ribosomal RNA". It matches the Rfam family "Bacterial small subunit ribosomal RNA", at positions 338 to 795 of the family's 1533-position model. The record is from RNAcentral.
CCUACGGGGGGCAGCAGUCGAGAAUCAUUCACAAUGGGGGAAACCCUGAUGGUGCGACGCCGCGUGGGGGAAUGAAGGUCUUCGGAUUGUAAACCCCUGUCAUGUGGGAGCAAAUUAAAAAGAUAGUACCACAAUAGGAAGAGACUGCUAACUCUGUGCCAGCAGCCGCGGUAAUACAGAGGUCUCAAGCGUUGUUCGGCAUCACUGGGCGUAAAGCGUGCGUAGGCUGUUUCGUAAGUCGUGUGUGAAAGGCGCGGGCUCAAGCCGCGGACGGCACAUGAUACUGCGAGACUAGAGUAAGGGAGGGGGAACCGGAAUUCUCGGUGUAGCAGUGAAAUGCGUAGAUAUCGAGAGGAACACUCGUGGCGAAGGCGGGUUCCUGGACAUUAACUGACGCUGAGGCACGAAGGCCAGGGGAGCGAAAGGGAUUAGAUACCCCUGUAGUC